CAGCCGCCGCGGUAAUACCAGCAGCCCAAGUGGUGGUCGCGAUUAUUGGGCCUAAAGCGCUCGUAGCCGGGCCGGUAAGUCCCCUGUGAAAUCGGACGGCCUAACCGUUCGGCGUGCAAGGGAUACUGUCGGUCUUGGGGCCGGGAGACGUCCGAGGUACUCCGGGGGUAGCGGUGAAAUGUUCUGAUCCUCGGGGGACCACCGGUGGCGAAGGCGUUCGACGAGAACGGGCCUGACGGUGAGGGGCGAAGGCUAGGGGAGCAAACGGGAUUAGAUACCCGAGUAGUCCCUGUCUCUUAUA
Molecule: ribosomal RNA, 301 nt
Filed under: uncultured bacterium
Lineage: Bacteria
Description: partial 16S ribosomal RNA
Rfam family: Archaeal small subunit ribosomal RNA
Source: RNAcentral